UGAGGAGAGGUGGUUCUUCUGCAAACUAGUGCGUCAUUUUUUUUUGUUUUGUGUCAACGGCCGCGUAGAUUUUCUUCGACUGAUUUUUGAUUGCACUGAAUCGAGGAAGGACAUAUAGGCUAAUACAAUAAUAUAAUGACAUUUUUAUAUACCGUUUUAUGUGUUGCCAUUAUAGUAUUUUAAUAUUAUAAUGUUGCAACGGGGUUGAUUUGAAACCUCAAUAAAGACAAAUGACUAACCACAACCAUAAUAUCAACCAGUGCGCUUGCUACAGACAUUGCCAGCCACAUCAUAGCACAAAAUAAUAAUAAUUAAAAAAAAAAAAACAUAUCCGUGUUUUAUCUAUGAUUGAAACGGAUAAAUAGAUCUCGCACACAUUUUGAAUACUUAUUUUCCUAUUCGUUUAUUGUCAGCGACCAAAAUGGCCAUUUUAUUGCAUUCUGGGGGAACGCAGUGGGCGUCCGCUUUGAAAUUAUCCUGUGUUGCAAUGGUGAUGUUUUUGGCCUGUCCAGUGACUUCCAUGGAUGUGCUGGUGCAACAACAGAUCAACGCUCUCAACGGAACUGAUGUCAGAAUCCCGUGUGCAUUCACCUCAUGCUACAAGCUGGACCCCAAGCAUUUUGCCAUGAACUGGACCUAUCAGGAGACACUCAACAGCACAGAGGAGAUGUUCAUGACCUAUAAGAACAGGAUAACACCCCUGAAGCCAAGCCGAUUUGGAGAGCGAGCUAUUUUUUCUGGAAACCUAGAUAAGAAUGACCUCAGCAUCACUAUCUUAGAUGUGCAGUUGUCAGACGAUGGAAUCUACAAUUGCUAUGUGCGCAACCCUCCAGAUCGCAUUCAGGGUCACGGCACCAUCCAGUUCAACGUCUUGACUGAAUUGCCACCACCAAGGGAUUCGACCAUCGCUGUCGCCAUCGGGGCAUCAGUGGGGGGCAUUCUUGCUUUGCUCAUUCUGUCCAUGGUAGUGGUGAAGUGUAUUCGUAGACAUAAGCACCAGGAGCUGAUCUCAGACGAGCAGAAGAUGGAAGAAGAGGGCAAAGUAGAUGGAGAAGGAGGAACAGAAGAAGCAACAAAACAGCCCUAACCCGCCAUCUUAGCCAGGGAGGCCUAACGUAGUGUGGAGCUCCAUCCUUCACUUUCUGAAAUUUAUGCCUCCUGCCUGAAGAUAUUUAAAACGUGUUCUACUCUUCGUCCUGUAACGUCUCAUUCAACAUUCCUCGGUUUUCUUGUGUAGCGACCAGACAUGUCAUGUUAGGAAGAUCUCUGCCACAGUGCCAUGACGUCCAAUCACUGGUGAGAAAUCACAAAGGGUUUUAUACUGCCUCGUCCACUCAAAAUGGCAGGCUAAUGUGAUAACAGUGUCCUACAGAACUGUUUAUUUGGUCAGUAUCUCUUUUUUCUUCAACUACUGCCACUAUUAGCACUACAAAUAUUAGCCAUCCAGUAUUUCUGCUAAGAAUUUUCUAAA
Non-coding RNA from Pimephales promelas (fathead minnow), 1471 nucleotides. The record is from RefSeq and is a predicted model, not a curated record. NCBI's taxonomy places the organism in Eukaryota, Metazoa, Chordata, Actinopteri, Cypriniformes, Leuciscidae.